This is a long non-coding RNA of Zonotrichia albicollis (white-throated sparrow), 786 nucleotides long. Lineage: Eukaryota; Metazoa; Chordata; Aves; Passeriformes; Passerellidae. The record is from Ensembl.
AUGGCAUUAAGCAUUCCCAUGGGCAUGGGGCACUUCAACCUGUAUGGCUUGCUCUAAAUCCCAGCUAACAGUGGUUUGUAGUUUGGGUCAUAAUUUGGCUUAGAAACCUUGGUUAGCAUCUCUAAAUGAAAAUAAUUCCCCAUUUAUAUUGCUGUCACUAGGGCUGAGUACUGUGUUCAGAAGUAACACCCAAGGAGCCCAAAGGAUGAAUCCCACAGCUGUGCCCAGAGCCUUCCUCGGACUUAAGUGCACUUCUGGAUCAUUUGGUACCCAAGGGAAACCCUCCCUUAAAUGAGCAGAGCACCUCCAUUCCAUUUGUGCUGGACUUCCCUGGGAAGAGCAUGACACAUUCUGAUUUAUGGACAAAUUCUAAUGACAUACCCUGCUGAAAUCUAUAAUCUUUCAAAAGUGAUGAAAUGAGCAGAGCAGUCCAAAGCGACAAAAGGUAAGUUUAAUGUUCCUCUAUCUUGUUAUAUCUAACUUCUGGAAACAAUGCAGGAGGAUAUUGAAAGUGAAAAUAUGUGCAAUAGAGGGUUAAAUUCUUUAUUUAAAUUCUUUAUUACUAUUUGAUAUAUUUCACUGAGGAUUAUUCACCUUUUAAAAAGUGAAAAUGAACACAUAAGCUUGGGUUUCUGGGCUAGAAGUGUUUCUUAUAUUAUCUGAAAUUUGUACUAAGCUUGUUAUGAUCUCUAAGUGAAAAAAAAAAAUUAAAAACCCAAAGUUACUGCAUUUGAAUUUCUUGUUUCUUCCUGCUCUGUUCCAGUCAGUUCUGGUGGCAUUUGAAGU